Molecule: ribosomal RNA, 114 nt
Filed under: Candidatus Woesearchaeota archaeon B3_Woes
Lineage: Archaea; Nanobdellati; Candidatus Woesearchaeota
Source: RNAcentral
UUGGACGGUCAUAGCAGCCGGGUUCCACAUGGUCUCAUUUCGAACCCAUAAGUUAAACCGGCUUACGUUCUUAGAAGUACUGCAUUACGCGGGAACCUAAGAAAGCUGUCCAUC